AGUGGCGGACGGGUGAGUAACGCGUGAGCAAUCUACCUUCCAGUGCGGAAUAACAACCGGAAACAGUUGCUAAUACCGCAUGAAACGACAGUAUCGCAUGAUACAAUCGUCAAAGGCUUGCUGCUGGAAGAUGAGCUUGCGUCUGAUUAGACAGUUGGUGAGGUAGCGGCUCACCAAAUCAACGAUCAGUAGCUGGUCUGAGAGGACGACCAGCCACAUUGGGACUGAGACACGGCCCAAACUCCUACGGGAGGCAGCAGUGGGGAAUUUUGGACAAUGGGGGCAACCCUGAUCCAGCCAUGCCGCGUGCAGGAAGAAGGCCUUCGGGUUGUAAACUGCUUUUGUUAGGAACGAAAAGGUAUUGACGAAUACUUGUUACUGAUGACGGUACCUAAAGAAUAAGCACCGGCUAACUACGUGCCAGCAGCCGCGGUAAUACGUAGGGUGCAAGCGUUAAUCGGAAUUACUGGGCGUAAAGCGUGCGCAGGCGGUUUGAUAAGACAGGUGUGAAAUCCCCGAGCUCAACUUGGGAAUAGCACUUGUGACUGUCAGACUAGAGUAUGUCAGAGGGGGGUGGAAUUCCAAGUGUAGCAGUGAAAUGCGUAGAUAUUUGGAAGAACACCGAUGGCGAAGGCGGGUUCCUGGACAUUCACUGACGCUGAGGUACGAAGGCCGGGGUAGCGAAAGGGAUUAGAUACCCCUGUAGUCCCGGCAGUAAACGGUGCAUGCUUGGUGUGCGGGGAAUCGACCCCCUGCGUGCCGGAGUUAACACGUUAAGCAUGCCGCCUGGGGAGUACGGUCGCAAGAUUAAAACUCAAAGAAAUUGACGGGGACCCGCACAAGCGGUGGAGUAUGUGGCUUAAUUCGAUGCAACGCGAAGAACCUUACCAAGGCUUGACAUCCUGUGACCGCUCAUGAAAGUGAGUUUUUUCUUAGGCAACACAGAGACAGGUGCUGCAUGGCCGUCGUCAGCUCGUGUCGUGAGAUGUUUGGUUAAGUCCAGCAACGAGCGCAACCCCUGCUGCCAGUUACCAGCGAUUCGGUCGGGGACUCUGGCGGGACUGCCCAGAUCAACUGGGAGGAAGGUGGGGACGACGUCAGGUCAGUGUGGCCCUUAUGCCUUGGGCUGCACACGUACUACAAUGCCCAGCACAGAGGGAAGCCAACCCGCGAGGGUGAGCGGAUCCGCAAAGUUGGGCCCAGUUCGGAUUGGAGGCUGCAACCCGCCUCCAUGAAGCCGGAAUCGCUAGUAAUGGCGCAUCAGCUACGGCGCCGUGAAUACGUUCCCGGGUCUUGCACUCACCGCCCGUCA
This 1312-nucleotide ribosomal RNA is filed under the name uncultured bacterium. RNAcentral describes it as "bacterial SSU rRNA". It matches the Rfam family "Bacterial small subunit ribosomal RNA", at positions 94 to 1399 of the family's 1533-position model. The record is from RNAcentral.